UAGCCGUAAACGAUACUCGCUAGGUGUCGGCCACGGUGCGACCGUUGUCGGUGCCGUAGGGAAGCCGUGAAGCGAGCCACCUGGGAAGUACGGCCGCAAGGCUGAAACUUAAAGGAAUUGGCGGGGGAGCACAACAACGGGUGGAGCUUGCGGUUUAAUUGGAUUCAACGCCGGACAACUCACCAGGAGCGACGGUUACAUGAAGGCCAGGCUGAUGACCUUGCCUGAUUUCCGAGAGGUGGUGCAUGGCGUAGACGUCU
This 260-nucleotide ribosomal RNA is filed under the name uncultured archaeon. RNAcentral's name for it is "partial 16S ribosomal RNA". It matches the Rfam family "Archaeal small subunit ribosomal RNA", at positions 748 to 1009 of the family's 1478-position model. The record is from RNAcentral.